UAGGGAAUAUUGCACAAUGGGGAAAGCCCUGAUGCAGCGACGCCGCGUGAAGGAAGAAGUAUCUCGGUAUGUAAACUUCUAUCAGCAGGGAAGACGAUGACGGUACCUGACUAAGAAGCCCCGGCUAACUACGUGCCAGCAGCCGCGGUAAUACGUAGGGGCAAGCGUUAUCCGGAUUUACUGGGUGUAAAGGGAGCGUAGACGGAUCUGCAAGUCUGGAGUGAAAGCCCGGGGCUCAACCCCGGGCACUGCUUUGGAAAUACUGUGGAUCUAGAGUGCCGGAGAGGUAAGCGGAAUUCCUAGUGUAGCGGUGAAAUGCGUAGAUAUUAGGAGGAACACCAGUGGCGAAGGCGGCUUACUGGACGGUAACUGACGUUGAGGCUCGAAAAGCGUGGGGAGCAAACAGGAUUAGAUACCC
RNAcentral lists this ribosomal RNA (418 nucleotides) under uncultured bacterium. Its description in RNAcentral is "bacterial SSU rRNA". It matches the Rfam family "Bacterial small subunit ribosomal RNA", at positions 355 to 787 of the family's 1533-position model. The record is from RNAcentral.